This 465-nucleotide long non-coding RNA is filed under the name Amphimedon queenslandica. Its description in RNAcentral is "uncharacterized LOC109590572". Lineage: Eukaryota; Metazoa; Porifera; Demospongiae; Haplosclerida; Niphatidae. The record is from RNAcentral.
ACAUGAAUCAACGUCAGUAUCAUCCACUGGAGGAGCUAGUCCAUCAGCUACUGUUGAUGUCAAUAAAGCCAAGAGAGUGAUCAAUGAUGUUCUUGUAUCUCAUUAUGCUGAUCUCAAUUCUUUGCCUAAGAAAGGUCUUUCUGAACUUGCUAACCAGCUUUACACAGUUUGUCUGGUCAAUAAUGCAGUUAAAGAGGCUCCUUUGAUGCAAGAGUGCAUUGAUGAGUUUAAGGCUAGUCUUAGUUUUAAGAGAACGUUGCCUAAAGUAGAGGAGCACUGUCAAAAGUUUUUGAAUUCAUUCAUUGCUGUAAGAGGCAGUUAUGCUGAUGCAGCUGAAACUUUAGGUGAGGACUGGAUUGAAGCUCUUAGGAAUGAACUGGGAUUUGAUUUUAAUAUUGAUAUUGAUGUUUAAUGCAUGUAUAUUUUAAUGCUUGUUUUGUUCAAAAUGCUUGAAAAUUUGAUUAA